GAUGAGAAGCUUCGACUAAGGUUCGACUCGAGCGCAGCGAGAGAACGUUGCCGCAGGCAACGGCCCGAAGGGCGAGGCGCUUUAGCGCCGAGUAAUCCUUCCCCCACCACCA
This 112-nucleotide small RNA is filed under the name Klebsiella pneumoniae subsp. pneumoniae. RNAcentral's name for it is "partial RtT sRNA". It matches the Rfam family "RtT RNA", at positions 21 to 130 of the family's 130-position model. Rfam says of the family: This family represents a bacterial cis-regulatory element known as RtT RNA. The exact function of RtT is unknown although it is thought that it may be involved in changing the cellular response in relation to amino acid starvation. The record is from RNAcentral. Lineage: Bacteria; Pseudomonadati; Pseudomonadota; Gammaproteobacteria; Enterobacterales; Enterobacteriaceae.